GACGAACGCUGGCGGCGUGCCUAACACAUGCAAGUCGAGCGGUAAGGCCUUUCGGGGUACACGAGCGGCGAACGGGUGAGUAACACGUGGGUGAUCUGCCCUGCACUUCGGGAUAAGCCUGGGAAACUGGGUCUAAUACCGGAUAUGACCUCCUAUCGCAUGGUGGGUGGUGGAAAGAUUUAUCGGUGCAGGAUGGGCCCGCGGCCUAUCAGCUUGUUGGUGGGGUAAUGGCCUACCAAGGCGACGACGGGUAGCCGACCUGAGAGGGUGACCGGCCACACUGGGACUGAGACACGGCCCAGACUCCUACGGGAGGCAGCAGUGGAGAAUAUUGCACAAUGGGCGAAAGCCUGAUGCAGCGACGCCGCGUGAGGGAUGACGGCCUUCGGGUUGUAAACCUCUUUCAGCAGGGACGAAGCGCAAGUGACGGCACCUGCAGAAGAAGCACCGGCUAACUACGUG
This 462-nucleotide ribosomal RNA is filed under the name uncultured bacterium. Its description in RNAcentral is "partial 16S ribosomal RNA". It matches the Rfam family "Bacterial small subunit ribosomal RNA", at positions 28 to 507 of the family's 1533-position model. The record is from RNAcentral.